Molecule: small nucleolar RNA, 96 nt
Organism: Hydra vulgaris (swiftwater hydra)
Lineage: Eukaryota; Metazoa; Cnidaria; Hydrozoa; Anthoathecata; Hydridae
Product: small nucleolar SNORD12/SNORD106
Source: RefSeq, a predicted model, not a curated record
GUUAAAUGAAGUGAUGAAUAUUCUUUUUUCCCCAACUUAUCGAUCAUGGUGAGAUUAAUUGCUGAUUUACUUAGCCAGAUAUUCUGAUCAUAAAAC